UGGGGAAUAUUGCACAAUGGGCGCAAGCCUGAUGCAGCCAUGCCGCGUGUAUGAAGAAGGCCUUCGGGUUGUAAAGUACUUUCAGCGGGGAGGAAGGGAGUAAAGUUAAUACCUUUGCUCAUUGACGUUACCCGCAGAAGAAGCACCGGCUAACUCCGUGCCAGCAGCCGCGGUAAUACGGAGGGUGCAAGCGUUAAUCGGAAUUACUGGGGGUAAAGCGCACGCAGGCGGUUUGUUAAGUCAGAUGUGAAAUCCUCGGGCUCAACCUGGGAACUGCAUCUGAUACUGGCAAGCUUGAGUCUCGUAGAGGGGGGUAGAAUUCCAGGUGUAGCGAUGAAAUGCGUAGAGAUCUGGAGGAAUACCGGUGGCGAAGGCGGCCCCCUGGACGAAGACUGACGCUCAGGUGCGAAAGCGUGGGGAGCAAACAGG
RNAcentral lists this ribosomal RNA (429 nucleotides) under Chloroflexota bacterium. RNAcentral describes it as "Chloroflexi bacterium partial 16S ribosomal RNA". It matches the Rfam family "Bacterial small subunit ribosomal RNA", at positions 355 to 776 of the family's 1533-position model. Lineage: Bacteria; Bacillati; Chloroflexota. The record is from RNAcentral.